RNAcentral lists this non-coding RNA (27 nucleotides) under Rattus norvegicus (Norway rat). The record is from RNAcentral. Lineage: Eukaryota; Metazoa; Chordata; Mammalia; Rodentia; Muridae.
UGGCAGCCACAGGCACACUUAGAGUUC